UAUUGGUCAAUGGGCGGGAGCCUGAACCAGCCAAGCCGCGUGAGGGAUUAAGGCCCUACGGGUCGUAAACCUCUUUUUCCGGGGAGCCGGGCGGCGGACGUUUUCGCCGCUUGCGAGUACCCGGAGAAAAAGCAUCCGCUAACUCCGUGCCAGCAGCCGCGGUCAUACGGAGGAUGCGAGCGUUAUCCGGAUUUAUUGGGUUUAAAGGGUGCGUAGGCGGGCUUUUAAGUCAGCGGUAAAAAUUCGGGGCUCAACCCCGUCCGGCCGUUGAAACUGGGGGCCUUGAGUGGGCGAGAAGAAGGCGGAAUGCGUGGUGUAGCGGUGAAAUGCAUAGAUAUCACGCAGAACCCCGAUUGCGAAGGCAGCCUUCCGGCGCCCUACUGACGCUGAGGCACGAAAGUGCGGGGAUCGAACAGG
This 417-nucleotide ribosomal RNA is filed under the name uncultured bacterium. RNAcentral describes it as "bacterial SSU rRNA". It matches the Rfam family "Bacterial small subunit ribosomal RNA", at positions 362 to 776 of the family's 1533-position model. The record is from RNAcentral.